RNAcentral lists this ribosomal RNA (337 nucleotides) under Clostridioides difficile. Its description in RNAcentral is "bacterial SSU rRNA". It matches the Rfam family "Bacterial small subunit ribosomal RNA", at positions 382 to 737 of the family's 1533-position model. Lineage: Bacteria; Bacillati; Bacillota; Clostridia; Peptostreptococcales; Peptostreptococcaceae. The record is from RNAcentral.
CCUGAUGCAGCAACGCCGCGUGAGUGAUGAAGGCCUUCGGGUCGUAAAACUCUGGCCUCAAGGAAGAUAAUGACGGUACUUGGGGAGGAAGCCCCGGCUAACUACGUGCCAGCAGCCGCGGUAAUACGUAGGGGGCUAGCGUUAUCCGGAGUUACUGGGCGUAAAGGGUGCGUAGGCGGUCUUGCAAGUCAGGAGUGAAAGGCUACGGCUCAACCGUAGUAAGCUCUUGAAACUGGGAGACUUGAGUGCAGGAGAGGAGAGUGGAAUUCCUAGUGUAGCGGUGAAAUGCGUAGAUAUUAGGAGGAACACCAGUUGCGAAGGCGGCUCUCUGGACUGU